GGUCCGGUAGUUCAGUUGGUUAGAAUGCCAGCCUGUCACGCUGGAGGUCGACGGUUCGAGCCCGGUCCGGAUCGCCA
This 77-nucleotide transfer RNA is filed under the name Candidatus Colimonas fimequi. RNAcentral's name for it is "tRNA-Asp". It matches the Rfam family "tRNA". Rfam says of the family: Transfer RNA (tRNA) molecules are approximately 80 nucleotides in length. Lineage: Bacteria; Bacillati; Bacillota; Clostridia; Peptostreptococcales; Anaerovoracaceae. The record is from RNAcentral.